Molecule: long non-coding RNA, 207 nt
Filed under: Homo sapiens (human)
Lineage: Eukaryota; Metazoa; Chordata; Mammalia; Primates; Hominidae
Description: HSALNT0241681
Source: RNAcentral
CUGAGAAGCUAUCCCAGAAAAACAUCAAUUUGAUCUUUGCAGUGACUGAAAAUGUAGUCAAUCUCUAUCAGAACUAUAGUGAGCUCAUCCCAGGGACCACAGUUGGGGUUCUGUCCAUGGAUUCCAGCAAUGUCCUCCAGCUCAUUGUUGAUGCUUAUGGGACUCACCUAGACGCAAGUGGAGAUGGAAAGAGGGAGCAGGUUCCUG